Molecule: ribosomal RNA, 254 nt
Filed under: uncultured Scutellospora
Lineage: Eukaryota; Fungi; Glomeromycota; Glomeromycetes; Diversisporales; Gigasporaceae
Description: partial 18S ribosomal RNA
Rfam family: Eukaryotic small subunit ribosomal RNA
Source: RNAcentral
AAGCUCGUAGUUGAAUUUCGGGGUUCUACCGUUGGUCGGGCUUUGUCUGUACUGGCGUGUAGAAUUUCUACCUUCUGGGGAACCAUUAUGUUAUUAAUUUAGCGUGGUGGGAAACCAGGACCUUUACCUUGAAAAAAUUAGAGUGUUCAAAGCAGGCUUAUGUCUGAAUACAUUAGCAUGGAAUAAUAGAAUAGGACGGUGGUCCUGUUUUGUUGGUUUCUGAAUCACCGUAAUGAUUAAUAGGGAUAGUUGGG